GGUCGUAGCAUGUAGCCGUAACUUGUAACUCGUACGGUAACAGGGGUAGCUUGCUACCCGCUGACGAGCGGCGGACGGGUGAGUAAUGCUUAGGAAUCUGCCCAGUAGUGGGGGAUAGCCCGGGGAAACCCGGAUUAAUACCGCAUACGUCCUACGGGAGAAAGCAGGGGAUCUUCGGACCUUGCGCUAUUGGAUGAGCCUAAGUCGGAUUAGCUAGUUGGUGGGGUAAAGGCCUACCAAGGCGACGAUCCGUAGCUGGUCUGAGAGGAUGAUCAGCCACAUCGGGACUGAGACACGGCCCGAACUCCUACGGGAGGCAGCAGUGGGGAAUAUUGGACAAUGGGGGCAACCCUGAUCCAGCCAUGCCGCGUGUGUGAAGAAGGCUUUCGGGUUGUAAAGCACUUUCAGUAGGGAGGAAAACCUUAUGGUUAAUACCCAUGAGGCUUGACGUUACCUACAGAAGAAGCACCGGCUAACUCCGUGCCAGCAGCCGCGGUAAUACGGAGGGUGCAGCGUUAUCGGAAUUAACUGGGCGUAAAGCGCGCGUAGGUGGUUUGGUAAGCGAGAUGUGAAAGCCCCGGGCUUAACCUGGGAACGGCAUUUCGAACUGUCAGACUAGAGUGUGGUAGAGGGUAGUGGAAUUUCCUGUGUAGCGGUGAAAUGCGUAGAUAUAGGAAGGAACACCAGUGGCGAAGGCGGCUACCUGGACCAACACUGACACUGAGGUGCGAAAGCGUGGGGAGCAAACAGGAUUAGAUACCCUGGUAGUCCACGCCGUAAACGAUGUCAACUAGCCGUUGGGACUCUUGAAGUCUUAUUGGCGCAGCUAACGCACUAAGUUGACCGCCUGGGGAGUACCGCCGCAAGGUUAAAACUCGGGUGAGGUGACGGGCUCCCGCACAAGCGGUGGAUCAUGUGGUUUAAUUCAACUCAACGCGAACAACGUUACCUGGUCUUGACAUCCACAGAACUAUCCAGAGAUGGAUUGGUGCCUUCCGGGACUCUGAAGCCGGUGCUGCAUGCUCGUCGUCAGCUCGAGUCAUGAGAUGUGCGCCUCAGGUUCGGUAGCGACCCCAACCUCUAUUUCUGGUUGCUACCUGGGGAUGCUCACCACUCGGGGGACACUUGUAGGUGACUGCCCGGCGAAUGUAGAUUAUGACGUCCCCGACGGCAUUGGCCUUACGUUUAAGGCAACUCUCCUUACGGCCAGGGCUACACACGUGCUACAAUGGCGCGUACAGAGGGCUGCCAACUCGCGAGAGUGAGCCAAUCCCUUAAAACGCGUCGUAGUCCGGAUCGGAGUCUGCAACUCGACUCCGUGAAGUCGGAAUCGCUAGUAAUCGCGAAUCAGAAUGUCGCGGUGAAUACGUUCCCGGGCCUUGUACACACCGCCCGUCACACCAUGGGAGUGGAUUGCACCAGAAGUAGUUAGUCUAACCUUCGGGAGGACGAUUACCACGGUGUGGUUCAUGACUGGGGUGAAGUCGUAACAAGGUAGCC
Molecule: ribosomal RNA, 1500 nt
Filed under: Marinobacter nauticus
Lineage: Bacteria; Pseudomonadati; Pseudomonadota; Gammaproteobacteria; Pseudomonadales; Marinobacteraceae
Description: bacterial SSU rRNA
Rfam family: Bacterial small subunit ribosomal RNA
Source: RNAcentral